GUAUGACCGACUUGGCCACUAGGGGCAGUAUAAUAAAGGCAUACAGAGCUAUAUGGAUUGUCAUCCGAGUGAGGUUCGUUUUGCUCUGCGGAGACAAAGGCGGCAUGUCCAGUCGGCGAAUACAAAGGGGACCAGUGACACAACAGCAGAGGAAAGUGGUCGGAACAAUAAGAAAGCUUGAAACCUGCCAACUGUUGUAUAAUACCAUAGCUUUCCCCGCUCAGUCAUGUGCCCCCAAAAACAAAGUGCCACCCUCAGUUGGCAUCUUUCCUCCAUCAUUGCACGGGAUGCGAGCAGAAGAAAGGGCGCAUGGUGGGGGCAAAUGGAUUCAUCCAGCUGGAAGUACAACUUGGCACAGUGUUACACUGCUGAUUGCCACAUGGAAGUCACAAAGACUGAUGAGGAGUCACUCUACUGUUAUUUGCUGGACAGAAUGGUUAUGCGUGUUUGAUGACGCUAAGUCUAAUAAAUGUGAAAACAAUUGAGCAAAACGACACAAAAUUUUGUUGGGUCCAAAUUAUGGCACGCUUGAUACCAGCUGAUGGGAAAUACUGCAUUCCCGAAAAUGGACCAGUCGUGAGCUCUGGCUCAGCUUGUCACCUCCAGUAGCCACCUGUUGCCCUCAAGCCCUUCAUCUGACUCAUCAUACACGAGUGGAGGACUUUGUCUGCUGCAGGUGCACCGAGCCACCCACAACAGUGCUGCCAACCACUGUAUAAGAUUCUAUGACCUUGCAGUAAAAAUAAAUACACAUCUACUUCACUAUUAGGCACAAAAGAGCUUUCUUGGUAUAGGGAAAUACACAGAUAAGUUCAAUUUGUCUGUUUUAAAGCAUCAAAUUGCAUAAUCUGCGCAAGUUUUAAAGAUCAAAUAUGUAAUCAUCUAUUUUUAAUUAGUGUGACUGUAAAUAUCAACUGGGAGUGGAA
Molecule: long non-coding RNA, 926 nt
Organism: Syngnathus acus (greater pipefish)
Lineage: Eukaryota; Metazoa; Chordata; Actinopteri; Syngnathiformes; Syngnathidae
Exons: 2
Source: RefSeq, a predicted model, not a curated record